GACGAACGCUGGCGGCGUGCUUAACACAUGCAAGUCGAACGCUGAAGCUCAGCUUUUGUUGGGUGGAUGAGUGGCGAACGGGUGAGUAACACGUGAGUAACCUGCCUCCUUCUUUGGGAUAACGCCCGGAAACGGGUGCUAAUACUGGAUAUUCACUGGUCUUCGCAUGGGGGUUGGUGGAAAGGGUUUUUCUGGUGGGGGAUGGGCUCGCGGCCUAUCAGCCUGUUGGUGGGGUGAUGGCCUACCAAGGCUUUGACGGGUAGCCGGCCUGAGAGGGUGACCGGUCACAUUGGGACUGAGAUACGGCCCAGACUCCUACGGGAGGCAGCAGUGGGGAAUAUUGCACAAUGGGCGCAAGCCUGAUGCAGCGACGCCGCGUGAGGGAUGGAGGCCUUCGGGUUGUGAACCUCUUUCGCUCAUGGUCAAGCCGCAACAAUGGUUGUGGUGAGGGUAGUGGGUAAAGAAGCGCCGGCUAACUACGUG
This 483-nucleotide ribosomal RNA is filed under the name uncultured bacterium. RNAcentral's name for it is "partial 16S ribosomal RNA". It matches the Rfam family "Bacterial small subunit ribosomal RNA", at positions 28 to 507 of the family's 1533-position model. The record is from RNAcentral.